CAAGCCCAAGAGCAAGCCCAUUCCAGUUCAAGAACAAAUCUCAUUUGGGCUGAGAUUUGUUGGGCCAAGGUCGAGCCCGGUCCAAGCCCGUCGGGGUCGUCGAAAGCCCAAUUUCGACCGCCGUCGCAUCGCUGUUGUGGUGAUUUGGUUCUCGCUUUUAAUCAAGUGAUUUUUACUCACUAAUGCUUUAUUAGUUUGCUAAUUAUGCUUAGGGAUUGGUUAGAUUUAAUUAAAUGCAAUUAGGUGGUUAGAUUAGUUAGAUUAAUUAAAUUAGAGACUUAAUGAUGCAUGUUAGAUGGUUAGAAAUAGACAUUAGCAAGUAGGCAUGCCAUGUUAUUUAUGGAACAAGUCUCGGUAAUUUUCCGGGUUCGUAUCGGCUUCCAAUUAGGCUAUAACGGGCAUAAGUUGGAUUUAUUGCAUUUAUUUAAUAUUUUUCGUAAUUAUUUAAUUACUUAUUUAUUUUUUGGAAAUUAUGCUAGGAUAGCCGACGACCGAAAUUUUGUGCUUAUUCCAAUAGUGCUUUCUGUUUAUUUAUUCGAGCAUCAGAUUAUGAAAUUUUAGUGAAAUUGGUGAAUAUGAGAAUUUAUCCCAAAAUUAGGAAAAUGUCGGUACUUGAAGGGAAAGUAACUGUGUGUGGUUGUGAGUUGGAUUAAAGAUUGCCAGGUGGGGCUGUGAUGCCACCAAGUUGAGAAGAGUGCCAGGCGGGGCCGUGAUGCCACCAAGUUGAGAAAAUUGCCAAGUGGGGCCGUGAUGCCACCAAGUCUAGAACAUUUGCCAGGUGAGGCCGCGAUGCCACCAAGUCUAGAAAAUUUGCCGAGUGGGGCCGUGAUUCCACUAAAAAUAAAUUAUGCCUAUAGGGUCGUGAUUCAGAGUCAAGAAUGAAGAGUCGGGAUGACCAUGUAAUGGUGUUGAUGACAUGUAAUUGACUGAGUCGAUUGAUCGUUAAGUCGAUAUGAUUAGUUGGAUGCUAUAAUUGUCAGUAUUUAUUAUUUGAAUUGACUUGCAGGAAGGAAACUGAGGCCAAGGUAAGCCCUCUGACCCAUGAUGUGCUUAGGCAGCCCUCAUGACGUAUUUUCUUACUAAUCGGGUCUUAGGGGGUAGAAUUCACUGAGACAUGGUCUCAUUGGUUAUUGAAUAACCAUUUCAGGACCCUGAGGAGGAGCCAAGGAGGAGAAAGAUUUUUGAGGAAGAAGAAGAUGAUCCAGAGAGGGAUCUUGAGUACAACCCGGAUGUGGAUUGAGAUCACAUCCUUUUUGUGAACCAUGUCUUAGUGUAGAUAGGUGUGAGACUUGGUUGCUGUAAAUAGUAUUGUAAAUAUACUAUGAGUUGCACUGUUAAUAAAGGUGUGGUUGUGAAUUUCAAUACGAAAAA
This 1371-nucleotide long non-coding RNA is filed under the name Eucalyptus grandis. Its description in RNAcentral is "long non-coding RNA (EGRA_LNC003510)". The record is from RNAcentral. Lineage: Eukaryota; Viridiplantae; Streptophyta; Magnoliopsida; Myrtales; Myrtaceae.